AACCUACACCCGGCCGUAUUUUCUUUCUUGAGCCGCUAAACCCUUUCAACCCAACUCCACCCUCCACUCUCCACUCUCUACUUUUACGCCCUCCACCGCCGACCGCCGCGGUUUCAUCGCAGAAGGAGCCCCUCGAAUCGCCGAUAUCUCCAUUAUAGUCAUUGAGGCUGGAGCAGCAGUAAUGACAACCAGAAUAUGCGUUGCGAUUCGAUCUUUUGCGAAACACCCAUUGGGACUUCCGCCUUGCACGCGGAGGAUUCGGUUGCCUGACACACGAGUCUUAUAUACUGUGUUACGAUCGCCUCAUAUUGAUAAGAAGUCCAGAGAACAGUUUCAUAUGAUAACCAAGAAACAACUUCUGGUCAUAGACACGAAGGCAAAUGAGUUGCAAAAGAAGUUCUUUUGGUUAAAACGCCAGCGUAUACUUGGAGCUCAAUACGAAAUUAUAUUUAAUUCCAAGACCCGUUUGGAUAAGGGAAAACUCCAGGCUUUGCUUAAUAAGGAAACUGAAACGACUCCUGGAGCAGAAUUGGGGUUGAAGUCCAUAAUUUCCAGUUGAGAAGGUGUUUCUUUGUAAACGGACAGAGAUUCUGUAGAAGUUGAUGGCAAUGAUGAUACAAAAAGCCAAUGAUGAUACAGGGUUUCUGUAGAAGUUGAUGGCAGAGAUUCUGUAAACGGACUUGUGAUUGGAGAAGUCCUCGCUUUGCCUCAAACAGCCAAUGAUGAUACAAAAAGAUUUCAGUUAUUUUAAAGAAUUUAGUUGUAAGAAACCUUCUUUUAUUAAAUGUUUGUAGAACUUAGAGAAUUUGGUCCUUAUUUUGUUAUGUAAACGACUUUUUCGAUUCUAUGAAAUAAGGAAGGCAUCAGUAUUGCUAUA
Long non-coding RNA from Rosa chinensis, 877 nucleotides. RefSeq lists it as uncharacterized. The record is from RefSeq and is a predicted model, not a curated record. The transcript has 3 exons. NCBI's taxonomy places the organism in Eukaryota, Viridiplantae, Streptophyta, Magnoliopsida, Rosales, Rosaceae.